CGGAUUCCUAAAAAUACCCAGGGCAUGAGUCAUCCACUUCCAAAAUGCUGCAAAUGGAUGGAACUAGAAGAAACCAUUCUGAGGAAGGUAAUCCAGUCACAAAAAGACAAACACGGUGAUUCUACAUUAUGUCAAGCUGGCAAUUAAGACUAACCCUCAAAGUGUAGAAAGUUCCUAGGUCAGAUUAUCUUCAAAUUUGAGCACGGGAAAUGAUGCAACAAUAUGACCAGAAUUUGCCAUUACUGUUUGAAAUAUUUGAGAAAAGUGAGCAGAAUACAUGAGUAACAGACACCAGCAAAAAGAAAGGAAAUGGUUCCUGAGAAUGCAGAGACAUCAGGGUCUCAAGGCUGCCAAAUAGUAGGAAAGGACUUCAAAAGUGGGUGAAAAACUCAAUAAGCAUCUCCCCAAAGAAGACAUAUGAAUGGCUCAUGAACACAAAUUACAAAGAUGUGAACAGAACUCUAAGUAAACAUCUCCAGCAUGUUUUAUUAAGAAGCAAAGCAAAAAGAAAACAUGUUUCUGUUGUUGUGGAGACAUUGGAAACUUGUAUCCCAAUGCUAUGGAUGUAAGACAAC
This 575-nucleotide long non-coding RNA is filed under the name Cricetulus griseus (Chinese hamster). Its description in RNAcentral is "lncRNA (ENSCGRG00015043415.1)". The record is from RNAcentral. Lineage: Eukaryota; Metazoa; Chordata; Mammalia; Rodentia; Cricetidae.